GGCUCGGACGCGCCGGGGCGGGGGCGCCCGCCGGGAAGCCUCUCGCGCCGCCCCGAAAACAGCGAAAGUGUUUUGGUUUUUUUUUUUUUAACCACAUGCGUUCGUAAUACACGCACAGGUUAGGGAAACGCAGAGACCCUGAAAGUGCCCAGAAGGCGUCCACUCGCUGUCCUUUGGUCUCCUGCUGCCCAUCUCCGGAGUCAGCCGCUGUCCCCUCCUGUGCCAUUUCGGAGGAACUCCGUGUGCAGGCAGCGUUCCUGUGUAUAUGUCGACCCCUCCUUUUCUCGUUCUUUUUUUUUUUUUUUUUUUUCACAAAAUGGUAGCACCACUCGAUUGAGUACUUCACUCAAUACUCAGGCCUGCCCAUUCAUACAUAUAAAGCAACAUCAUUCUUUUUAAAGGUCACAUGAAAUUCCGUUGUACACUUGCACCACCGUUUUCUGAAUGUCUUAAUGAUGGACAUUUAUGUCGUUACUCAUUUUUGCUAACGAUGCUUCAGUGAGUUUUAUAGAACAGACGUCUUUGGUGGGUGUGCUAGUGUGUCUGUAAGGAAAGACCCUAGAACUGAGAUGCUGGGGCAGAGAGUCGUGGUGGGUACUGCCCAAAAGCCUUCCUGAGAUGUACCAUUUAAUUAAUUUUAAUUAUACAAGUAGUACAUGAAUACAUUCUACUUCUGAAGAAAUAGAACGUUACAAACCAGGCAGAAGGCCCCUAAUUACCCCUCCCAUCUCGCCAGAGGAAGCCACAAGUACACCUCUGUGGAUUACUUUUCCACAUCCAUUUCAGUAUACUUGACUCCAUGGACAGGUGUUUUGUUUAUACAGAAAAAUGGUAGCACAUGGCACAAAGGGUGUAUAUAUAGUUCAGAGACUCCUCACUGCUGACUCAGGGACCUGGUACCUCCCUGCUUUCCACUUCCUCCAGUCCCUUCCGGUGGCAUUCUCUGCACCCACGAGCACGUAUAGGAACACUUCUUGGUCAGAUGGUUUUAUCGGCCUGCUGGUGGGCAGCUGCACUGGUCACGCGCUGGGCAUAGCGGGCCCUGCUGUAUGAUGAGUGUUGAGUACUUUCAUCUUGUCACCUCCCAUCUGGUCCAUGCUGCGGACAGUCUGAGAUAAUUUCCCCAUUUUCAGGAGAGGAACCGGAGGCUCUUAGAGGAGCAGGAACCUGCUCCGGUCCCCUGCCUCACACCUUCUACUCCAGCCGUGCUCCAGCCACAGAUGCAUGUGAAGGGGCUCGCGAUCCUCUCUGCUUUCCCCUCCCAUUGUAACUGAUUUCUGUUUGGUCACGUCCAGGUACAUUUUAGGACAUGUUCUCUGAGCCAGUGUAGGUUGGAGGUUAAAAAAUGGGAAGGCAGAUUGUUGGUCUUUUCUUGUGAUAGGUGUAGGGAGUGAAGGACAUGCUUCUGGAGUCUGUGGUGAGGCCUGGCUUUCUCCCUCACUGACCUUGUGACCUCGGAUGUGAUUCUGGACUGUCCACACUCUGGCAGAUCUCAACUGGCUUUGCUUUUCUUGCACGUUUGCCACUUCCCGGGCAAACGCUUCAGGGAGUGUGGUGGUUACUGUUCAGCCAUCGAGGGACUUGGGACUCGGGGAGGCUGCUAGGAAGUGGCCGACCCAGGGCUCUGCUUGACUCCAAAGCUGCCACUUCCCGGGUCACUGUACUCUGCCCUCCCCUAUCACGUGUAUGUUUGUGGUGUUUCUUCAUAGGACAGAAGGUUUCAGGCACCAAAUUAUAACGCCUCCAAGCAUUUGACAAGUCCUUGGUUUAGACUGUAAAUUGUUGAAGAAAUGAAGAGGGAUUUCUCUCCUGUUGUACGAACAUUGCAGCUCUUAUGUUUCUCUCGCCCCUGAGAGGAGACUCUCCUUGUCUUCUUACAGGUGUUAACAUGUGACCUGAGCACAUUGCAGUGGUGGGACCAGGGCUGCUACUCUUCUUCCUUCAAUAGAUGAGAUUACCACCCUCCACUCAGGGAAGUGAGAAGAAAAAGUGGCUUUUUUCUUUUGGGGGGAAAGGAGCUGCAUCUGAGUGCCUGCCCGGGUCCACGCCUGUGGCUACAAACUUGUGUCUGUGCGAUAACGCUGAGUGAUGGGGGUGUAGGGGGGCAUGGGCCCCACUCUUCUGAUGAGAAAACUGAAGCUUGGAAAGUCAAGUUCCCUGGGCAGGCAUUGGAACCUGCUCUGCCGCCCCUGACCCGGGUCUGGUGAAUCCCCUUCGUUAUCCUCAUGUCACAGAGGCCACGUGUGUCUUUACUUGUCCUUCCUCUCCAGACUAUGGGCCCUCCCCUCCUCCCUCUGCUGACCCCCCCACAUGGUGGACAGUCUGCUCCUUUUAUGGAUGUCUUCAGAUCAGGUCAGCCGUCAGCUGAAGACUGUCCGGGCGCUCAUUGCCCUCGCAGUGACCCACGAUCUGGCCUCUGCCCUCCCCUGAGGCUCAUCCAUGGCUCCUGACCUCCAGUCACACUGGCCUUCUCCUACUUAUUGGAUGGGCCAGUGUUGCACCUGCUGUGCCCUCCUCAUUUAAGUCUCAGCUCGAGUGUCACCUCCUUGGAGAGGCCUCCUCUGACCUACUGGCCUAAAGUGUCCCCAGUUCUCUACCGUCAUACUUCCUCAUGUCCGUGUGUUGUUUCCUGCUAGCCCUUGGUGCUGUCUGAUAUGCUUGAUGUGCUUGUUGAUGGCCUCUGUCCUCCACAAGAGCAUAGCAGGAAUUGGGCCAGAGCCUGGCAUGUAGGAGGCACUCGGAAGUCCCAAAUGAAUGAAGCCGGGGUUGGGGGGCGGGUCGAAAGUCACCAGCAGGGCCCUUCUGGGGGCUGACAGCAGAGCCAGGGGAAGAGUGCUGUGCGGUGUGCAGAGUGACUCAUUAGGGCUCUUUGCACAGGGGUGACUUGCUUUGCGGGACAUGGUGGAGAAAGGAAAGCUUGCCCGGUGGCGGCACAGCCUGGGUGGGGCUCUGAGGCAUGAGCCUGCUGUCUUGUCUGUUCAGAGCCAGGGGUAGCUGCCAGCAUUUAGCAGCUGGAAAUGGGCCUGGUGAGUGGGGAGAGGUGUGGAAGGUGAAGGCGGGAUCAUGUAGAGUGGUGAGUGGGGCUUAGAUCGGGCCCUCGGUGCAGAUUUCUUCUAAGGGCCUUGGAAUGCUUUUAAAGUAGGUUUGUGAUGUGAUGAGGCCGGAGCUUUAGAAAGAGGCAAGGUGGCUGAGCAGGGACUCCAGCUGGCAGCGCACCUGUGCCCAGAUUGCUGGGAGGCGGGGCUGCCGCUGCAGUUCCCAGCUCACUGGGAGUGGUUCAGACCCCUUGCUAAAUGCCCUAUCCGAAGCAGAAGGAAAUUAGAGUGACUGUCUGAGUUCCAUGAUGAUACCUCUAAAGCUUAGUGUAUCUUAAAGCCAGCUCUCUUUAAUUCCAUCGCUCCCCCAAAAUACUUUCAUGUACAAAAAGAUUAUUUUUUAACUUAGAGAAAAUUGGGUUUUAUCUCCUUGAUCCCUGUGGCCAUAGAUAAAACUCCUAAGUGGUGCUGGGGGUUAAUAGUGACAACAGGACUUAGCAUGUAUUUAGUGCCAGCAUUGUGACUUUUUUUGUUUGUUUAACCCUCAUAGCAAUCCUGGGAGGUAAGAGGUGAUACUCCCAUGGGACAGAUGCAAAGGCAGAGGCUCAGGGAGGUUAGGGAACACAGAUCUAGAAGAGCUAGUUUGAACCCACGCUGAUCUGCCCUUGGAGCACGGGCAUUCUCAGUGUGAGUGGACAAGGGUGCCCAUCUGCUCCAGGCCCUCUGAUGGUGUUUCUGGGCAGUAUUUUUCUCUGAUGUGUUUUAGAGUAUAAAUCUUUCAGGGUUAGAACUUCAAAAAGAUUCAGUAAUGUAUGUUUUAAAGACUUGGGUGGGGGUGAGGGACUUGGACCCAUCCUCAAUCUCACUCUGGCAGGAAGGAAGAGGUCUGAAAAAUGCUGGUAUCUUGGCUUGGCAAUUUAUAGUCCUCUGGUGGCUGCCACGAUUAACAGUGCAUUGUCUCCCAGUCUUUUGUUCCUGUGUUUAAUGAACAGCAGCUCUUUUGCCAUGACUGUCACCCUGAUCGCUAGCCUCCUGUGCGCCCCCCACGCCCCUCCGUUUAAGCGGUGCUUCCUGCGAGGUUUGGGCCCUCUCUGGACCCCCCUGGCUGGAGCAGCUGAUCUACCACAGCCUUGCAAGUGUGACUCAGGGCUCCUAGCUUUGGAGCUCUCUGUGCUCGUGUGACAACAUGGAGAAGCAUGGUCCCUUGGGCCGUUUUAUCCAAGAGUGCGCCUGCAGUCUGUCUGAGAUGCUCUCUUUGGACCCAUGAGACAGGUUCAUGUGCGAACGACCGUGUGUUUUCCACCAGGUUUUUACACUGCUGUUUGGGUAUCUGCGCUUAGUCCCCAGCAGGUGGUGUGGCCCAAGCAGAAACGACAAACCGGAGGCCUGACCACCCCAGGAAUAUGGGUGUUUUUCUGAUGCAAAACCAACCAAACAAACAAAAAAAGACACUCUGGUUUUCUUAGCCCCUAGUCUUUUAAUGAAUCUGUCCAGAAAUGCAUUGUGUUGGGCCUCCCUGGUGGCGCAGUGGUUGAGAGUCUGCCUGCCGAUGCAG
Delphinapterus leucas (beluga whale) is the source of this 4590-nucleotide non-coding RNA. NCBI's taxonomy places the organism in Eukaryota, Metazoa, Chordata, Mammalia, Artiodactyla, Monodontidae. The record is from RefSeq and is a predicted model, not a curated record.